UACGAAGGGGGCGAGCGUUGUUCGGAAUCACUGGGCGUAAAGGGCGCGUAGGCGGCCCUCUUUGUCGCGUGUGAAAGCCCCGGGCUCAACCUGGGAACGGCGCGCGAAACGGGGGGGCUGGAGUUCGGGAGAGGAGAGUGGAAUUCCCAGUGUAGAGGUGAAAUUCGUAGAUAUUGGGAAGAACACCGGUGGCGAAGGCGGCUCUCUGGACCGAGACUGACGCUGAGACGCGAAAGCGUGGGGAGCAAACAGG
RNAcentral lists this ribosomal RNA (253 nucleotides) under uncultured bacterium. Its description in RNAcentral is "partial 16S ribosomal RNA". It matches the Rfam family "Bacterial small subunit ribosomal RNA", at positions 524 to 776 of the family's 1533-position model. The record is from RNAcentral.